Molecule: transfer RNA, 36 nt
Filed under: Aipysurus apraefrontalis
Lineage: Eukaryota; Metazoa; Chordata; Lepidosauria; Squamata; Elapidae
Description: partial tRNA-Leu
Source: RNAcentral
UCUACCAAAGGAUAAUAGUAUUCCACUGGUCUUAGA